GCAUCGGUGGUUUAGUGGUAAAAUUAGCCGUUGCCAUUCAUUCGAGGUCGGCUAGGUAAGAUUUCAUCAACAAAUUUACGACUAGCAGCUUACAAUAAAUGUAGCCCCGGGUUCGAUUCCCGGCCGAUGCA
Non-coding RNA from Lojkania enalia, 131 nucleotides. The record is from the annotation of a GenBank genome assembly. Lineage: Eukaryota; Fungi; Ascomycota; Dothideomycetes; Pleosporales.